GUGGGGGAUAUUGCACAAUGGGGGAAACCCUGAUGCAGCGACGCCGCGUGAAGGAAGACGUACUUCGGUAUGUAAACUUCUAUCAGCAGGGAAGAAGAUGACGGUACCUGACUAAGAAGCCCCGGCUAACUACGUGCCAGCAGCCGCGGUAAUACGUAGGGGGCAAGCGUUAUCCGGAUUUACUGGGUGUAAAGGGAGCGUAGACGGUGAAGCAAGUCUGAUGUGAAAACCCGGGGCUCAACUCCGGGAUUGCAUUGGAAACUGUUUUACUUGAGUGCUGGAGAGGCAAGCGGAAUUCCUGGCGUAGCGGUGAAAUGCGUAGAUAUCAGGAAGAACACCGGUGGCGAAGGCGGCUUGCUGGACAGUAACUGACGUUGAGGCUCGAAAGCGUGGGGAGCAAACAGGAUUAGAAACCCUUGUAGUCC
Molecule: ribosomal RNA, 425 nt
Filed under: uncultured bacterium
Lineage: Bacteria
Description: partial 16S ribosomal RNA
Rfam family: Bacterial small subunit ribosomal RNA
Source: RNAcentral